CACGUAGGGGCCAAGCGUUGUCCGGAUUUAUUGGGCGUAAAGAGCUCGUAGGCGGUUGGGUAAGUCGGGUGUGAAAACUCCAGGCUCAACUUGGAGACGCCACCCGAUACUGCUCUGACUUGAGUUCGGUAGGGGAGUGGGGAAGUUCCUGGUGUAGCGGUGAAAUGCGCAGAUAUCAGGAGGAACACCGGUGGCGAAGGCGCCACUCUGGGCCGAAACUGACGCUGAGGAGCGAAAAGCGUGGGGAGCGAACAGG
RNAcentral lists this ribosomal RNA (256 nucleotides) under uncultured bacterium. RNAcentral describes it as "partial 16S ribosomal RNA". It matches the Rfam family "Bacterial small subunit ribosomal RNA", at positions 524 to 776 of the family's 1533-position model. The record is from RNAcentral.